AUGUUCACUGUUAUAUUCAUGUGUCUGUGGCUUUCACUAGGUGACUCCAUGGCAGAUCCAAUAGAGCCACUUGUUACUUCUAAAGUUGUAGGUGAAGGUGAUGAUGUUACUCUGUCCUGCAGCUACAAAAAAUUCAGUGGUACCGUAAACGACCUGCAGUGGUACAGACAAUAUCCAAAAUCUAAACCUGAGUUCCUUCUUUAUAUUUUGGAAAGUGGAGAUCUGAGUCCCAACCCUCCCCCAAGAAUGGCUGCUAAAGUUCCUGGAGAUAAACGAGUGGAUCUGCUCAUCUCCUCUGCUGCUGUAUCAGACUCUGCACUAUACUACUGUGCUCUGGCGCCCACAGUGACAGGAAAUCCAACUGCACUGUACAAAAACUACACUUUUAUUCUACAGUGUUGA
Molecule: non-coding RNA, 402 nt
Organism: Pangasianodon hypophthalmus (striped catfish)
Lineage: Eukaryota; Metazoa; Chordata; Actinopteri; Siluriformes; Pangasiidae
Source: the annotation of a RefSeq genome assembly